Molecule: ribosomal RNA, 559 nt
Filed under: uncultured Flavobacteriia bacterium
Lineage: Bacteria; Pseudomonadati; Bacteroidota; Flavobacteriia
Description: bacterial SSU rRNA
Rfam family: Bacterial small subunit ribosomal RNA
Source: RNAcentral
UAACACAUGCAAGUACGAGGGGUAACAGGAAAGUCUUGCUUUCGCUGACGACCGGCGCACGGGUGCGUAACGCGUAUGCAACCUACCUUACACUGGAGAAUAGCCCUUGGAAACGAGGAUUAAUGCUCCAUGGUAUCAUUUCUUCGCAUGUUGAAAUGAUUAAAGAAUUUCGGUGUAAGAUGGGCAUGCGUCCCAUUAGCUAGUUGGUGAGGUAACGGCUCACCAAGGCGACGAUGGGUAGGGGGCCUGAGAGGGUGGUCCCCCACACUGGUACUGAGACACGGACCAGACUCCUACGGGAGGCAGCAGUGAGGAAUAUUGGUCAAUGGAGGCAACUCUGAACCAGCCAUGCCGCGUGAAGGAUGACGGCCCUAUGGGUUGUAAACUUCUUUUGAAUAGGAAGAAACUUAUCUACGUGUAGAUAACUGACGGUACUAUUAGAAUAAGGAUCGGCUAACUCCGUGCCAGCAGCCGCGGUAAUACGGAGGAUCCAAGCGUUAUCCGGAUUCAUUGGGUUUAAAGGGUCCGUAGGCGGGUCUUUAAGUCAGUGGUGAAAGCC